This 132-nucleotide small nuclear RNA is filed under the name Anser cygnoides (Swan goose). Its description in RNAcentral is "U2 spliceosomal RNA (ENSACDG00005010368.1)". It matches the Rfam family "U2 spliceosomal RNA". Rfam says of the family: U2 is a small nuclear RNA (snRNA) component of the spliceosome (involved in pre-mRNA splicing). Lineage: Eukaryota; Metazoa; Chordata; Aves; Anseriformes; Anatidae. The record is from Rfam by way of RNAcentral.
AUCACUUCUUGGCCUUUUGGCUAAGAUCAAGUGUAGUAUCAGCAUAAGGCUCGACGUGUCCUUAGCGUGUCUCUUUGGAGACUCCAUCCUGCCCUUGCAGCAGGCUGGAUUCAGUGACCUACUGGCUCUUUU